GUUAAUCAUGAAGAUGCUCAAUGAAUUUUUGUCUCAACCAGAUUAUCGUAAAUCAAGGUAGCCCUAGCGAAGCGCAGGCAAACUUGCUGUCACUGUACUUCCAGUGUCGGGGUGACGAGUCAAAGUCGGCGGCCCCCGACCGUAGACCCCGCCCCCCCUCUCCCCCACCGCGAUGGCGGCUGACCUCUAAUGAUGAUGGACGCUGCUGUGGCGGAGAAUGGCGUCAUUGUUCCAGGUGACAUUCCUGACGGUCAUUUGGGGCCGCCCCCUCCAGGAUCCAUCGAGGCCCCCCCGAGUCACCCGCUACCACCGCCUCUUUCCAUGACAAAGAAGCGGGUCACCUGACGGCCCGAAUUGACCCGCUUCACUCGGCAGCCUCGCAGCUAAAGUAAACAAACUGUUCAUUCGGGAUAAUUCGGCAGAACGUACAACGGCGCCGUAUAAAUUCCUAACCUGUAAGUCCUCCGCCCCCCCCACCCCCACCCUUUUCCUUUCUUUACACUCAUCCUUCACUUUACUACCACACCAUCAGAAGUAUUGGGACACCAACAGGAAGGCAAAAUGAGCAUUGUGUAUUCCCGUAAUCCACAUUAAAAUUCGCACAUCUUACUAAAAGGAACAUUUCAGGCAAGAGCAGUGAAGAAAGUGGUCCAGCAAGUGUGAAGAAGAAGAAUUUUGGAGGGAAGCCUGUCUCCAUCAAUGGAAUCAUUCAGGUUCUUAUCAGGUGAGGUCACCCCCCCCCCAUGUGACUACCUUCCCCGUUCACUGCCUCCUGGCCUUUUGUCCUCCCGACAAUGUGGCCGUCAGAAUGGGUGAGGAGGGCUGAAUGAGGGUGAGGGAGGGGGGGUUGUAAAAGAGGGAGAAAAAUAUGGUGUUGAUCCCUCAUUCUUUACGGAGAUGUGCUCCAGGUAAAUAGAAGGCUUUUUUUCCCCUCCUGGUUUGCUUUGUUGUGGUCCCACAAUGAGGAGGUUUGUGUGUGUGUGCGACCCCCUCACUCGACCAUCCCAAAAUGUUUGCAUAAAGAAAUUACGACCCAAAAGUGUUAAAGACCCCCAAAUCUGCAAAGGUGAGAGCAAAACAGGACAUGAACAAGACCCAACUUGAAACAACUAAAACACAGCUCAUGACCCCAAGAAGUGUUUUCCAUUUUUAAAAAAACAAAAACGAGGGUUUGCAGCUCGCACAAGAUAAGAAUCGGACUCAAAUCCAUUUUUCCAGGUCAUGGUGGAAUUUCAUUGACAGUUGAUUUUCCUGAACAGUCAAUGCAAAUGACUCAGGAUAACUUUCAAGUCAUCAACCGUUAAGUAUCAUUUGAAUGUUUUAUUAUUCCAAAAUGGAAAACUCCAAAUGCGCUGAAAAAUCUGUCAAAAAUGCACUAUACAAAAUUUCAAAUAGAUUUCCCUGUCUACAACUGACCAUUUAUCCAAUUUUAAAAACCAUCAUCCUAAUUUAAAUCCUCAACCCAAAUUUGAAGUAUGUUUGGUGAUUGAAUAAAUUGAAGUGAAAACUUUGUCCCAGAUUCCAGCAACCUCCACGCAACGCACGCUGCCUGAGGUUAGCUUAACGGUUACCCGGGGAGGUUCGCAGCUGUCGCAGCCCCGGGGAAGAGGCGUCGAGGGGGGGGGGCGGAGAUGACUACCUGCAAUCCCACCUGCUCCCCAGAAAACAUCACAGAGUGAAAGGUGACGACAGACGUCCGCUGUCCCGCCGACUUUGAACGCGACACAUUUUUCCUUGCUUCUAUUUUGCAUCGUUUUCAAUUCAAAUGAUCAUCAGGCAAGAAUAUUUUCCAGAUUGCUUUAUUAUACGGGCAAGUGUUCCACAGGAAUGUGGGUGGGUGAAUGUGAAAGGGAAAGGUUCCAUUAAAGCUCACCUGUUCUGACCCCUGCAGGUACUUUGGCUUCUUUUCAUUCAUUCACUCUGUUUCUUCUUCUUCCCUCCAUCAGCAGCCCGGGGCCACGCUUUGAACUCACGGCGUCCUCUGUGUGAGUGAGAGAGAGAGAGAGAGAGUAAAGGUUUGUUAUAUACGGCAUUUGGCCUCAGGUGUUGGGCCACCAUUGUUUCGGCUUAAUUAAACUGGCAUGGAAGUAAAGGCCUCUUUAGUGGGUACUGGAUGUGUGUGUGUGCUUGUGUGUGUGUGUGCGUGAGACAUCCCUGCCAGCAAUUCAGAUCUUAUCUCAGCUUUUGUCAAAGCACCUACUAUUUGUGCGACCGUGUGUGUGUGUGUGUGUGUGUGUCCGCCAUUUAAUUUUAUUUCCUGCUGUAUAAAAGACAAUCAGCAUUCCCUCACACACACGCACACACACAGAUUCACAUUAACCAUCACCGAAAAAAAAGAAAGUUUUAAAUGAGAGCACCUCAGCAACCUCAUUAUGGUCAUUUCUUCUUCUUCCCAGAGAACCUCAACAGCCAAUCAGAGAAAAGCAAGAGCGCAAGAACCAGGGAAAGACGAAAAUCCCAGCGCUCAUAAAAGACAGAAGAAGAGGAAGCAAGAAAAACAGAAGAAGACCAGAACAAGAAAAGACCAAGAAAGAAUGAAGAAGUACGUACUGUCUGUACCGACUUGAAGUCGUCUAGAAAGUGACUCAGUGACAAACAAAAAGUUCUGAUUCACCAGGCACUGCCCAAUAUAGUUUGAUACUUUGAAUGUAUGACGCGUGCACACGUUCAGCAGGUCAUCCAAGAAUGUAGGCCAGGUAGCACACAACGCCACACACACACACACACACACACACCAGAGCCAGAGAGCGAGAGAGUCGGUCCUGCUGGGCGGUGUAGACACAACCCCGCUGUGGCUCGGCUCGCUCACAAUGGCAUCAGCAGGGAGGACACGGCGCUAAUCCCUGUUAGCAUAACAAUGCUACAGCGGCACACCUCAAGCCUUCAGCACACACACAAAUAGAAAUACACACACUGUAAACCUGUAAUUGGGCAGAAGGGGGGGGAAAAAAAGCACUCACACACACAAUAAACUUCGGCACGCUAACGCCGACACAAAGUGUGUGUGUGUUUACUACCUAUUAGCUACCUGUUAGCUACCUGGCGUAUUUGACAUCCACAAGGCCAAAAUGUCCGUCGAAUGUAAACUUUGUUGUCGCAAAAUAUUUGAACCACUCACUCUUAUCCCUAUGAGAUGUUGCCACGGUUACAAGGAUGAGGGAGUGGCGUGGACAGAAAAGCGCAGAAAGCUCUGAGUGUACGUUUGCUCUGUGUUUACAUCCUAAAAGCUCUCUAAUAAGACGCCGCUAGACGGGGAGGCUUUCAUCUUAACCUGUCCCGUCACACCCACUACCCCAACGAGUGCCGUUAUUUAUGGCGGCUGUCUCGGAGUGGAGCACUUACACAUCUUCUGAGUCAGACGGGAGGCUCCAGAGGAGGAAGGUGUGCUUGUACAUUUCAUCAUUUACUUCAAUUCAUCUCACCACUAAAAAUGCAAUUUUCAAACACAUGACGAGAACAUUUCAUCAAAUGAUGUGGCGGGUCAGAUCUGGCCCCCGGCUGGGCCUUGAGUUUGACACCAGUACUUUACUGGACUAGUUAGCAUCAUGCGUCUUGGCACGGAUACAAAAAUAGAUCAUAAGAAACGAUUUUUUUCAUUAGGAUGUUAAGGGAAAUGGAAACACAUUGUAUUUGUGUGUGUGGUGACAGUAAUCUGAUUACUUUAAUCUGAUUACAAGUGUAAGCAGUCAAUGAGUUCCGCCCUAAAGUUGGCAGACGGGCAGGGUGACCUACACAAGGGCAGGGACACUCGUUGGGGGGGGGGGGUCUACGUUUUUGGCACGAUUCGAACCACAACAAGCCGACCAAUGUCACAUGACAAGCGUAGCCGUCGUAAUCUCCAUUUUGUGACUUUUGUACUGCCGUACAUUCUUGCUUAAUGACUGCGUGACAAGCCGCCGGCUAACUUUCCCGUCGAUGUAAACACACCAACUAUUCACCUGGAGAAAACACGCACAUGUAUGAAAACACACACAAACACACACACACUUGCUCUCAAGCAUUAUCCGUUUCAAGGCCAAACCUGCCGUAAAUCUGCACUGACAGGACACACACACACACCCACAGACACACUCACACACAUAUGCGCUGCGUGUAUUGUGUUCAUUUUUUUUUCUAAAAAAUCGUCUUGCUGCCUUUCGUCCGUUUUUAAAAAACAUUUACUUGUACUUAUUAAAAAGCAGGACAUCAUUUCAAAUUGGCAGUGUAGAAAAUGCACAAAUGCGAAUUAAUUAUGUUUGGCGCGUAAUGUCCAAAAAUGUCGAUUAUCGUUUUUAACGGGGAUUCUACACGAUUAAUCCAUGUACCAAAGAUUUCAAUUAUGACGAUAAUCGAUUAGUUUUCGAUCAAUUGAUUAAUUGAUGCACCUCUAGUUUUGAUGGAGCAAUACAUCAUGUUGAUAUCAUUUUUGGAUUAUCGUGCAUUUUUAUCGUCUCGUAUCAUCUUCAUGCUGCUCAGGGGAAAAAUGUUUCACUUGUGUGUUUCUUUCACUUUCUGCAUGGUGAAGCCUUCUAAACAUCUCCCAAGCAGCAUGUAAAGUAUCUCCACACUUUUUAUGUGUCUGUUAACUGGCUGGGUGGGCGCUUUGAUUGACAGCUCUCACUGAUUGCUCUCUUCCUCUUUGUUCUUUUCCUCUCAGGCUUCCACUUUUUAUUUCCACCAUUUUGUUGGACCGACUGAGUGGAAAAACAACGAGCGAGCGCAACAGUUGCCGCAGGACAAACGCCGUUAGCGUCCCGCCACGCAAAACUCACACGACCGGGUGGGCUGACGGCGCGGGUCACGUGACACUCUCAUCACGACCCAAACUGUUUUAUUGCGUGUAAACAAUCCCACGUGUCAGCAAGAAAGUAGAAAAGGUUUGUUGUUUGGAUUUUUUUAUUGUCUGGCUGUUAUCAUUUCGUAUCAGCUUGUAUCAUUUUCAGCUUCCCACGCGUACCGUCAACUAUUUUCGGACUCUUUAGCCUAUUUGAACCCCUGCUGCGUAAAUAUUUGUAUACUGGCCCCAUCUGAUGUAAACUCUGCGUUGGCGCCGUAAACUGAACUUGAAGUGGGCUUUUAUUUUGCUGGGAGAUGCGUGGGAGGUUUAUUUUGAAAUGCUCCUCCGAUGAACGCUAAAUAUUUGCGUCAUCGCGGUCGUUGUCGCCGUCUUCGACUUUCCCUCUGUUGCCGCCGCCGCCCGGCCAGGCCCUCAAAGGCGCUUGAAGGGCCGCCGUGUAAAUGUUCAGACGGCCGCACCGCUCUCCUUAUGGGCCGACAACUGCGCUCGGGAUCACACGGCCCGCAUUCUCGGCAUUGUGGAGAUGUUAAAGAUCUUCCGUGUGCAGGAAGCGAAAGACAAGUGAGAGGCGUUAAGUUUCACACCUGCAGGUGUCCAGUUUGAAUUUUUCAUGACGGCCUGCUGGAGCGACAACUUCAACCGCAACACAGGAUCACAAUGUCAGGCCAUCAGCCAAUCAGAACACACCAUGAACUCUACUUAGGCUGCAGGAGCUUUUUUUAAUGGGUUUAAAUAUUGACUGCAUAUGUUCUUUGUAACACAUUGACCUGCAUUCACACACACACACACACUCUUGUCAUCUUUUCUGUCUGUUACCGGGACGAUGGUGCUGAUACUCUCUCCCUCUCUGGGUCACAGAUAAAAGGCUUCAGGUAACCUAAGGAACUAAAGACACACACACAUAUGCACACACAGUUCCCGUUAAAGAGUAUCUUUGUCAUGACACUGACUUGUAUCUCAUGUGAAAUCGCUGAGUGAAGACUGAGCCAUGUUACACUUUGAAGUCACACACACACGCAAGUGCGUCUGCCAAUGAAGAAAGUACGUCAGCAUUACAACGUGAAAGGAGAAGUGUGUGUGUGUGCGUGUUUAGUGUUGGUGUGUCAGGACGGCUCCAAUGCAUUUCCAUGGAAACCAGCGAGUGAAAAAACUCCCAGAUUUAAUCAUAAUCAUUGCUGCAAUGAUACAAAUGAAGUUGAAAAAUGUUACGUGAUGAUGCAAUGGUCAAAUGUUGCACUUUCAUAGCUCAAAAGCAAAACAUGAAGUUAAAUGAUAAAGAAAGAAACACAAUAUAUGUGCUAUUAAAUUGACUAAAUAUGCAUUGUUAUAAUUAUUUGUCCCCAGAAUCACCUUUACUUUCUUUUUUUAUUUCUUUUUUUUUUUUUUUUUUUUUAAACAAGUCAUUGCAAUGUAUAUCCGGAGUUGCCUUUAUAUUGAUGUUAAAUUUGGCUAAUAACAGUAGAAAAUGAAUUCAAAUCAUCAUCCACAAAGCAA
This is a long non-coding RNA of Syngnathus acus (greater pipefish), 6271 nucleotides long. RefSeq lists it as uncharacterized. The record is from RefSeq and is a predicted model, not a curated record. The transcript is spliced from 2 exons. NCBI's taxonomy places the organism in Eukaryota, Metazoa, Chordata, Actinopteri, Syngnathiformes, Syngnathidae.